UCCAUUUUUUUUCAACAAAUCCGUCUACUCAUGUUACCUACUCUAGCUACCCAUAAGUGCCUUCUUUUUAAGUGACUAAAACUCUCUCUCCCGAAACCUAGCACAAUGAGAGCGUUCUAACUUCUAAGCUUGUUAUUGCUCUCGUCCGAUGGCGGUCGACAGUAGCCCCUGGUCUUUGAGAUCGAUUGCUUUGGUGGUCGGUGUCGAUCUCUGGUUCGACACUCCUCGGUAGCAAGGACAGUUAGCGAUACCGAAGCAAGAGAUGGUGACUGCAUGGCGGAGGGAGCAAGGUCGGUUCUGAUCCAACUCUGCCUUAAUUAAGUGGCGGCGCAGGCAGCAUAGAGAAAGACGCCAGCGACCUAGUGUGCGAGGUUUCCAGAUUCGUAUGUUCUGAUUCUGGGCUUGUUGCAUAGGGUUUCACUGAUGGCUUCGGCGAGGUGGAGUCAAGGCGGCGUGGUGGUCUCUUGCGGUGUGGCGGCAGUGGCCGGUGAGUUGUGAUGUCGGUGGCGAUGCGUGUGGACUUGCGAUGAGUGGUGUUGGCUAGACUUGGAUUGGGCCACCCCCAUUUGGUUUUGGGCCUCUUUAGUCCUCUUUUUAUUUUAUUUUUUUUGCUAGGUCUGCUUAGUGCUUACGUGCUUAGGGAAAUUUAUCUUAGUUUUUUGCCUUUGUUCUCUAAGUAGGGUUAUAGGUGAUCUUGGGGAAGCCCCCUCAGCGUAGAGAGGUCCCGAAAGUGGCAUAAUAAGUUGGGUUGGGAAUUUGCCAGUCCAGUACCUUUUUUGAUUAUGUCAUGGUUACUUGUUCUUUGGUUGCUAUCAAAGGCAGUUUUACGUAGGGUUCUAAUACGUAUUAGGGCUCUUAGCAAUAGCUCAAUUAUGUUAGGCCCUUCAUAGGGCUAGUUUAUUGUGUAAUGUUUGCCUCUUUCUACCUAUUAAUGGACUGACACCCUAAUUUGAUAA
Molecule: long non-coding RNA, 956 nt
Filed under: Rosa chinensis
Lineage: Eukaryota; Viridiplantae; Streptophyta; Magnoliopsida; Rosales; Rosaceae
Description: sRNA RchiOBHm_Chr2g0148371
Source: RNAcentral